ACCGUCCGGACCCCUUACCCAUCAGACCUACACACUGGUCUGAGUGGUUACAAAAGGAGGAGAAGGGACAGUGGAAUGGAUUCAAAUUCUUUUGUGACACAGAAACUAGUUUAAAACCAUG
This 121-nucleotide small nucleolar RNA is filed under the name Echinops telfairi (small Madagascar hedgehog). RNAcentral describes it as "Small nucleolar RNA SNORA61 (ENSETEG00000024540.1)". Lineage: Eukaryota; Metazoa; Chordata; Mammalia; Afrosoricida; Tenrecidae. The record is from RNAcentral.